CACGGUAAUCAAACUCAUCCCAGACCCGGUAUAGCAUUUCCGCUGUAAUGGCCUGCAUUGCAAGCGUUAUCCGAUCAUGAAGUUCAUGGAUGGACGUGGGCAUUGGUGGUACAUAAACGCUGUCUUUAACGAACCCCCAAAGAAAGAAAUCGCACGGAGUAAGUUCUGGCGAACGGGGUGGCCAAGGGACACCUCAAAACGGAGCACACAGAAAGCCUUCUCCUGCUGCAACGCCAUCUUUGAAACUGGCCCCGCGGCCACGCAGUAAGCAUGAGAAGCGAACUGCUGGUAGCGCAUGAGAAACUUGGACAGUUGCCGCCACUGACGGUGUCCGUGUAAGAGCCGAGGAUGACGUCUGGAGGCUGUGGGGAAGACUCCAGCUGACGCCAAUCUUGUUUAUUUGAUAACUCGUGGGACCUGGAUGGCGAGAACAUGGACCUGGCACUGUUUAUGGCACUGUCCAGCGUCCAACUGGGAACCAGUCUCAUGAGACGGCGUACGUCGCUUGCAGCCCCCGUCUGUCGGAAGUAGCGAAAUGCGGAAAACGCCAUUUGCUUUAUACACAGCAUUGCUUGUCAGCAGGAUUAUUUACUUCACGCGUUGUAAAGAGCCUGUCUAAUUUAUUUCGCUGUGAACAGCUGCUCAGCGUAAUGAAGAAAGUGAAAUCAAGAAUUAGGACGCCUCUCGCUGAUUUCGGAUGGACUGUGAAUGUCAAAAAAAGAAAAUAAACCUCAUACAGAAUGAUUACUCAAGUAAAAAUAGUGUACU
Long non-coding RNA from Zootermopsis nevadensis, 768 nucleotides. RefSeq lists it as uncharacterized. The record is from RefSeq and is a predicted model, not a curated record. NCBI's taxonomy places the organism in Eukaryota, Metazoa, Arthropoda, Insecta, Blattodea, Termopsidae.